This 1225-nucleotide long non-coding RNA is filed under the name Bos grunniens (domestic yak). RNAcentral's name for it is "lncRNA (ENSBGRG00000002949.1)". The record is from RNAcentral. Lineage: Eukaryota; Metazoa; Chordata; Mammalia; Artiodactyla; Bovidae.
AAGCCAAUCUUUGAGAUAGACUGGGAAAGUAUUUUCAUCCUCCUGUGUUGUCAGUUAAAAACUAUCACAGUUUAACUAAAAGCGUGUAUUAAGUGUAUGUGCCAAGCACUGUAUUAAGCCCUAGAGAUUCUGGCUGUGUUUGGCCGACUUACUGAAGGAAAACAUCAUGAAGAAUAUAGGAUUUGAACAGCUGUGUACGUAACAUACACUACAUUUACAAUGGAGCCAGAUCUUGAAGGUUGAAUAGACUAGAAAUCUGUGUGAGGGCGAAUUCUAGGACUGAGACAUUGGAAAAGCAUACAAAUUUGAUUUGUGACUGUUAAGCAUGAAAAAAUGAAGCUACACAAGUGAGAAAGACUUCAAGAUGAGAUCACAGAAAACCUUGAGUAAAAAGGUUUACUUUGAAAGAUGACAGUGUGUGUGUGUGUAUAUAUAUAUAUGUUUGUAUUCAGAAAAAUUUUUAAAGGUGUGAUAUGAUUAAAGUUAUGUUAUAAGGUUAUCUAAUGUCACAGGUGAUAUGGAGAAAAUGGGAAAGGAUGGAAAGGUGCAUGGCAAUUAGAUAAGUGGAAAUGGCAGGUAUCAAACCCACAAACGAAUGCUUGGACUGCAGUAUUUAUACUUGAAGACAAAAACUAUCUUAGAACUGGCUUUCUGGAAAAAAGAAAACAACUCUGUUUCCCAUCACUGGAGUGGUUUUUUUUUUUUUAAUUGCAAAUUUCUUGAAAAAUUUAAAUGAUUUUACAAAUAAAAUAUGCCGUGUCUUUGCAGCUAUUAAAAAAAAAGUCUCCCUUGUAUUGGCAGGCAGAUUCUUAACCACUGGACCACCAGAGAAGUCCCUGGGGUGACUUUUUUUAAAUGGCAACUUAGCCUUCACUGAAAUUAACAAACAUUUACAACUUAACCCAUCAGCUUCCAUUUCCUCUUCUGAGUCUUCAAUCCCAUCCUUUUUUUUUCUUUCUUUUUUUCAGUUUAUAAACAUGAUCAGGUACUUCUGUGGUUAUAAACUAAGUACUGAUUCCAUUUUCAUCUAAACAUCCAAAAAUGUGAACUGCACUUGCUUGUUCACUCUCUCACCUCCCAUAUAUUAUCUCCCUACUGCACAAUAAUGGGCUUCCCUGGUAAGUUGGUUGGUGAAGAAUCUGCCUGCAAUGCAGGAGACCUGGGUCUGAUCCCUGAGUUGGGAAGAUACUCUGGAGGAGGGCAUGGAAACCCACUCCAGAAUUUU